RNAcentral lists this transfer-messenger RNA (409 nucleotides) under Patescibacteria group. Its description in RNAcentral is "JACREP01 sp016218185 Standard tmRNA". It matches the Rfam family "transfer-messenger RNA". Rfam says of the family: Bacterial tmRNA, also known as 10Sa RNA or SsrA, is named for its dual tRNA and mRNA-like properties. RNAcentral also lists the same sequence under 1 other name. The record is from RNAcentral.
GGGGAUGAACGAUUCGACGAUUGUGGCACAUUGACAACUGCAAGCCGGCUUGACAGCGAGCCGUAAACUCUGUCAAAACAUAUCUGCUGAUUUAUCAGACAGAAAACAGGCACUCCGCGAGGAACUCGCAGCUUUGCGAGCGUACUUCGGAAUGUCUUCUCGCCCUGCGUUGGCAUUAGCUGCGUAAGGCAAGACGUUUGGCGAUGAUUUUUCUCGGUGAAUCGCGCCAGGCGGAAACUCAGCCGAGGCGUCAGGAAUCAACUGACCGAUUGGUUCCGGAGCAAAAAGGUCAACCCUUUUCAAGCCAUUUUGUCUAUUUUGAGGUUUGGAAAGAAUAAAAUGGACUACGCUUGUAGAUGUUGAAAAUAUGCCCUUUCGGACCCGAGCUCAUUACUCGGCAUCUCCACAG